CUGCUUGGCCUUGGCGACGGGGGCGCGCACCGGCUCAUCGGGUCCCAGCGUCACAAUGUGGAGAUCCGGGCUCAGGUCUCCGUCCUGCUGCUCCAGCAGCUCCGGGUCCAUGGUCAUGAGGAAAGAAGCGAACUGAGGUAGAACUGGAAAGGUGGGAAUCUGUGUCCCUGCACCACACACACGGAGGGAGAAGAAAAAAUAGUAGCAUGAUGCUAAUGCAACUGCUGUUUGGAUAACCUGAUAACACAGACUGGUCAAAUAUUUACUCUUGCACUUUUCUACAGUGUUCAUUUCCUGUUAUUACAACUAAUCGUGUCUCGUUUGUGUGCCCGCUCCUCACCAAAUGUUAUUGGAGGCUCGUCUGGUGGCGGGUUCAAAGUUGACCAGGGACAUGUCGCACCCCAUGGCCUCAUACAAGGAGGGUGUGAGUUUUCCUGAAAAUAAAGAAAGGGUAGAACGGUCAUUAUCGAUGGCGGUCGCGCUAGAGGAGCCUGCAGACGCUUGGUCAACAAACGCAGAUAACUGGAGCAUGGAUAAUGCGCACUGCGCUUGGGGAUCUGAUCGCAUCAGUUGGCCAAACGCGAACGACUGACUGACUGCAACGACCGCAGCUUCGCCAAACUUGGGACAUUCUGUGUCCUCGAGCGGGUUCACUGUUCCGCUUCGAACCGGGAGAAUCGUUUCAAAACAUGCAACGUGCGCCGGUUCCCCACCGAGGUCGUCCUGCAAGCUGCUGGCGCCGACAGUCGAGGCCUUGUCCUGAGAACCAUCCAGGUGUGCGCUUCCAUUCCUGGCCAGCAGGGAGGCGCUGGCGCUCAGCACCGUCACCUGGGAGGCGGUGCGAGACGGCUGAGUGGACUUGGUGGGAGGCUGGGACGCUUGACUGAGCGCCUCCUGGAGGCUGCAGGAGGCAAGUGGGGGAGGAAUAAAGUGAGGGGUUUUUUUUGGGGGGGGGGGUGAAACACGUGUUUGGGAAAACAAGUUCUCGGGCUUCAAUAAAGUUCAAAGUCGGAAAUGUCUCCAAAUCACUUUCAGAGCGACUGAAAAACAAACAAAUCGAUGCGACACAGCAGAACGGGCAAAUCAUGCGCGCUUGUGAGGAGAUUGAUUCGUCAGGACUUGCAAUGUUGAAAGGACUCUAUUCUUUGCGCGCUCAUCCAAAAUACUGUUAAAAAGACGACACGAUAUCAUCGUAGCUGGAAAAAGGAUGAACGAGAUCACAUGCUGAGCGAGACGUAACGACGACGCGUGAUCAAAGUGUGAUUCAGGGAUAGAUGAUUUUCUGGGAAACAAAUCUGAGUCGCUCUCGUACGAUGUGGUCACAUGCUGACAUCGGUUUGUGAAGGACGUUGUACCUGAGGGGAGAGCCAAUGAGAGAGGAUGGCGGCGUGGGGUUACUGCCCGCGUUAUGCCGCCGUCGCACCGCCUGCCGGCGAAACGUGCUCCGCUCACGGCGGAAGACCACCGUCUCCUCGCUGCCGGGGGCUGUGAUGGCAAGCGGCGGCGUCCUGAGACUCCAAGAACACGGCCUGGCUGGGCAGACUGUUCCUGGAGCGUGUCACCGACUCCAGCUGGGAGGCGCGACCUAGCAGGGAGGCGGCAUCCAGAACCUCCC
This is a long non-coding RNA of Syngnathus acus (greater pipefish), 1615 nucleotides long. RefSeq lists it as uncharacterized. NCBI's taxonomy places the organism in Eukaryota, Metazoa, Chordata, Actinopteri, Syngnathiformes, Syngnathidae. The transcript is spliced from 3 exons. The record is from RefSeq and is a predicted model, not a curated record.